RNAcentral lists this small RNA (127 nucleotides) under Marmota monax (woodchuck). The record is from RNAcentral. Lineage: Eukaryota; Metazoa; Chordata; Mammalia; Rodentia; Sciuridae.
GCCAGGCGCAGAGGAGUGCUCCUGUAAUCCUAGUGAGUUGGGAGGCUGAGGCAGGAGGAUUGCAAGUUCAAGGCCAGCCUUGGCAACUUAUUGAUGACCUAAGUUACUUAGUGAGAUCUUGUCUCAA